This 375-nucleotide ribosomal RNA is filed under the name uncultured bacterium. RNAcentral describes it as "bacterial SSU rRNA". It matches the Rfam family "Bacterial small subunit ribosomal RNA", at positions 523 to 898 of the family's 1533-position model. The record is from RNAcentral.
AUACGGAGGGUGCAAGCGUUAAUCGGAAUUACUGGGCGUAAAGCGAGCGCAGGUGGUUUAUUAAGUCUGGUGUAAAAGGCAGAGGCUCAACCAUUGUAUGCAUUGGAAACUGGUAGACUUGAGUGCAGGAGAGGAGAGUGGAAUUCCAUGUGUAGCGGUGAAAUGCGUAGAUAUAUGGAGGAACACCGGUGGCGAAAGCGGCUCUCUGGCCUGUAACUGACACUGAGGCUCGAAAGCGUGGGGAGCAAACAGGAUUAGAUACCCUGGUAGUCCACGCCGUAAACGAUGAGUGCUAGAUGUAGGGAGCUAUAAGUUCUCUGUAUCGCAGCUAACGCAAUAAGCACUCCGCCUGGGGAGUACGACCGCAAGGUUGAA